UCUUGAACAUGGCCAACAGCUGCAUGUGUAUCGUGAGCAGCUCCAAAAGACAGUGCAGGAGCUACAGCAAGCACAUACAUGCUGUGAAUCUCUGAACAGACAGAUAGAUGAAGUCACCCAGCAAGCACAUCAGAAGGAGAUGUGUUCUACACAUGCUGAGGUCAGACUCCAGGCCACCAUUACUACCCUACAACAGGAGAUUGAGCAGCAGAGAGAGGAGCACCACAAAGAGCUUUCAGCUCUCCAGCAGACGCGUGGGCAGCUGCUGAAGGUGUUGGAUCAGAUCUCCAGCAGCUUGCGUAACUCUCAGGAGCAGCUGAGCCAGCGGCUGCAACAGGCCCGAGACCAGCUUGAGGAGGCUAGAUCUACCUCUGCUCGCCUAAACGCUGAGCUUCACAGCAAAGAGCAGCUCCUGCAGAGUGCUAAUGAGACCCUGCUUAUUAAGGAGUCCGAGAUCACCCGUCUUCAAGCCAAGCUCUCCAGCUUUGAAAGGGCCACAGAACUACACAGCAUCACACUUCGUCAUAAACCCAGCACUCCUCCCCCUCUGUCUCCUCCUCUCAAAGACUCAAUUCUUCUCGGCUUCCCGCACCCCUCUCACAAAAACACUUCAGCACGUUCCAGCAGAACACUACCUCUGACACCUCUCUGGAGCUUUCAGACAGUUUGAAAGCCAGUGAACAGGCUGCAAUGCUGCUGCCCCCCCUUCCCAGACCAGACCUGGCAGGGUCUGUGCACUCAUGAGGCCACCUCCACUACAGACAUGUCCUUUAAUCCACUCACAUACAUGCUGGACCAAGAGCAACCAGAGGAACCAGACCUAGACUCUCUGUCAGGUAUGCUGAGGUUUGUUAACCAGACUCUGGCCCUCCAAGAGCAACAAUCUCUCUGUGACACCAGCACCCACAUAACAGGCAAGUAACAUAACUGCAUAUAAGCACUUUUCUCAUAUUUCUCACAUACACAAUCAAGUGGAUUUUUAAAUGUUUAUUAACUUAUUAUCGCUCAUACUUAAAAGCAUAGUUCACCCU
This is a long non-coding RNA of Sinocyclocheilus grahami, 1031 nucleotides long. NCBI's taxonomy places the organism in Eukaryota, Metazoa, Chordata, Actinopteri, Cypriniformes, Cyprinidae. The record is from Ensembl.